GAGGGCAGCGAAUAGAGCAUGCCGUCAUGGCCCAUGGCGAUGCCGUCGUCGACGGCGAUCGUAUUGAAUUCCUUGGCGACGCCGCCGGCCGCCUCGAUCUCGCGC
RNAcentral lists this small RNA (105 nucleotides) under Sinorhizobium meliloti 2011. RNAcentral describes it as "putative ncRNA". The record is from RNAcentral. Lineage: Bacteria; Pseudomonadati; Pseudomonadota; Alphaproteobacteria; Hyphomicrobiales; Rhizobiaceae.